Molecule: ribosomal RNA, 479 nt
Filed under: uncultured bacterium
Lineage: Bacteria
Description: bacterial SSU rRNA
Rfam family: Bacterial small subunit ribosomal RNA
Source: RNAcentral
CAAGAAGCACCGGCUAACUACGUGCCAGCAGCCGCGGUAAUACGUAGGGUGCGAGCGUUAAUCGGAAUUACUGGGCGUAAAGCGUGCGCAGGCGGUUUGGUAAGACAGGCGUGAAAUCCCCGGGCUUAACCUGGGAACUGCGCUUGUGACUGCCAGGCUAGAGUACGGCAGAGGGGGGUGGAAUUCCACGUGUAGCAGUGAAAUGCGUAGAGAUGUGGAGGAACACCAAUGGCGAAGGCAGCCCCCUGGGUCGAUACUGACGCUCAUGCACGAAAGCGUGGGUAGCAAAACAGGAUUAGAUACCCUGGUAGUCCACGCCCUAAACGAUGUCAACUAGGUGUUGGGUGGGUAAAACCAUUUAGUACCGUAGCUAACGCGUGAAGUUGACCGCCUGGGGAGUACGGCCGCAAGGUUAAAACUCAAAGGAAUUGACGGGGACCCGCACAAGCGGUGGAUGAUGUGGAUUAAUCGAUGCAACG